Molecule: long non-coding RNA, 1186 nt
Organism: Cynoglossus semilaevis (tongue sole)
Lineage: Eukaryota; Metazoa; Chordata; Actinopteri; Pleuronectiformes; Cynoglossidae
Exons: 3
Source: RefSeq, a predicted model, not a curated record
AGGAUAAAAUGAUAAAGGUUGAUGCGAUGUGGCAACCCCUGAAAAAGGGACAAGCCGAAAGCAGAAGAAGAUAAUUUUGUAUUUGAAAUACGAAAUCCAAACAACACGCAUGAAACCUUGGGCUUAAGCUUAAUUAUAAUGAAAUAGCAUCUGAUGUUAUAUUUUAUUUUGUCAAUUAAAGAAAUUUGAGCUUAAGAAAUCAUUACAUUUUCACAAGUUGUAAUGCUUAACAUAAAACUAUUCAAGCUUUAUAUAACUUUCUUUUUUUUGUCAUGCAUUACCAAAAUGACAUUUUGUUAUGUAGAUCUUGGCCUUCGGGUGUCACUAGAUGGGAGUAGUGGUACAGAAAAGAGAUGAACAGUGUCAGUGGUAUGGUGACAUUGUAUGUGGUUUAAUAUAACGUGGAAUAAGUUUGAUGAUUCCUGUGUAUUUUUAUUUGUUGUCCUCUAUAGGAAAUAGUUAGGCAAAGAUAUCAUCAUCAUUUGCAAAGUAUAUAUCUUUUAAAAUGUGUGUAUGUUCAUGUUUGAAAAAGUUUAUUACUUUACCCAAAUACUAUUAUUAAUUUAAAUAAUACAUUUUGAAAUUAAAAUGAUCCUCAACUCCUUUUAAUCCACGUCACAUAUAUUACAUUAGAACAGCCCCACAGCACACAAACAAAAAAUGUCCCAAACAGUACAAGUAAUAACUUCUAUUUUUGAUUGACUCACAAUUUAUGCAGUGCAAUUGCACACGAUGGUGACGCACUUGCAGCAAUUGAAGAACGACAGUCUUGAAGGGCUCUCUGAACACCUACAGGUUUUGUGACAAUGUAUGGACAUUUGUCUUAAACGACGUGGAAUUCAGAGAGGUGACCGAUCUGGUGAAGGUUGACAAGGUGAAGAUCGUCGCCUGUGAUGGAAAGAACUCGGGCUCCAAUGCUGCAGAGUGAAUUCUCCACGUGCCUUUGUGUGUUGGAGACCUGGAUUGCACAUAUAAUUUAUUACAGCUGAGUCAGCAACGUGUGUUUGGAAGUGUGAGAAAGGGAAAGUGUGUGUAUGAAAAUGUUAAUAUGUUUGUAUUGUAGGUCGAUCAUUUAGGUUUGGUUUUACUUUAAGUUUGUUUUUCAUUUAAUGUCAAUUUUUCUGUUCCGAGUUGAUCUGAAACUUCUUUAAUAAAAACUUCCUUUAAAAAAAAAAAAGAAAGAAAA